Molecule: long non-coding RNA, 1308 nt
Filed under: Anas platyrhynchos platyrhynchos (common mallard)
Lineage: Eukaryota; Metazoa; Chordata; Aves; Anseriformes; Anatidae
Description: lncRNA (ENSAPLG00000018148.1)
Source: RNAcentral
UGAAAACAGAUGGAUGAAGUACUAAUUUUCCUCCAGUCUUUUAUUUCUUUUAAUCUGACCUUCUAUUGAUACAUGCACCAGGGACCCUUUAAACCUGAAUAAUAAUAAGAAAAAUGCAGAUUUGUGUUCUUAAUGCUGUGGUAUAAGGCGCUCUGGUAUGACACAAACUACUGACAUCUAGGUCAUCAGAGAAAGAAGAAAGUGCUUUCUGCAUGGUUUGGAAGAGCUGAACUUUCCAUGAGUAGUUCCAGCUUCAAAUGCUGUUCAAACCUGUCCACAUUGGAACCAUCCAGCUGCAGCGUGAGAGGUGUUCAUUUCUUGAUGGAGAUGUGCCAAGGCAUAUGGAAUGGGGAAGAAUUGCUCUAUGCAAUCCAUGCUUUGGCACACAGUGCUUCUGAACAUGUCACAGCGAUUAAAAAAGGGGAGAGAAACUGCACUGAACUGGCAGAUGACACUGGUUCACUGCCUGUGCUGGCCGGGAUUUGUUCUAAGAAGGCGAGCUGGGGGAUCAAAGGGCUGCUGCUGGCAGCGGGUGCCUCCAUGCAGCAAAAUGCCAGAGCCCAGCAGCCAGAGUGCAGGGGAAUGGGGUGGUUGUAGGGAUUUGGGCUGGUGGGCUUUUGUUAGAUAAUGUUCUUUUCUCCUUUUCUGCUGGGUUCUGAAUGGUGGGAAGGAAAGGAUACCUGAAGUCACACUUCUUUUUUCAAUGCCAUUUCUGUUCCCAAAGUGAUCUUGCAGAUAUCUUUUGUAGAUUCCUCCACAAAUAAAGUAGACUUAAAAAGCUGGAAAAGUGCAAUUCUUGAUGUUUGCACAUUUAUGUAGAACUGCUGGAUAUAGCUUCUUCGUUGUUUUCAAAACUCUUUUAUGUCUGGACUGUUGAGUCUUUCUCUAAAUGUAAAAGUUACUGACUUUAGGGAUCUGUUUUCAGAAAAGCUGCCCCAGCUCCCACUCCCCUUCAGGAGAAGAGAAAAUGAGAUGUAUAUUGCCUUAAGCUUGGACCACGCUAUAACAAACCUGCCAUGUCCAAGAGCUGAAAAGAGGAAAAUUCAAUGGAUAGGAUUCAUCCAUUGCUGGGAGGUACAGUGUCUAGUCUCUGUGGACUUUGCCUCUAUCUCAAGUAAAUGGAUUCACCAUCCAAUUUCCAAGUGUGAGGACUUUUUAUUGCCUUCCAGUAUCUUCUUAGUAUUUGACAGUGCUCAACCACAGCAAAUUCUCAGCUUAAGGGUGAUACACAAAAAUCUACAUUCAAUUCUCAAAGAAGAUGCUCUUAAUGGUACUUACCUUUUUUUUCUGCAGAAAUGUAGUCUCUAA